AGUUAUGGUCCUUGGACUUAGAAAAAUCACUCAAAUAAUCAGUUUUCCUCACUUUUUAUACGACCGCAAAAAAAAUUUUGUGGUCGUAUAUUGGUAUGACGUCGUUGUCGUCGUCGUUGUCCGAAGACACAUUAGUUUUCGCACUCUAAUUUUAGUUUAAGUUAAUGGAUCUCAAUGAAAUUUUACCAUAAGGUUCAAUACCACAAAAGGAAGGUGGGGAUUGAUUUUGGGGGUUAUGGUACCAACAGUUAAGGAAUUAGGGGCCAAAAAUAAGCAUUUUUGUAACUUCCAGACAUAACUUGUGUGUAAGUAUAUGGAUCUCUCUGACAUUGUACCAUAAGGUUCCAUAUCACAAAGGGAAUGCUGGGAUUGAUUUUGGGGGUAAUUGCCUCCAAAUUUUAGGAAUUGGGGGCCAAAAACAAGCAUUUUUCUAGUUUUAUGACAGUAACUUGUGUGUAAGUCUAUGGAUCUCUCUGACAUUGUAUCACAAGGUUCCAUAUCACAAAGGGAAUGCUGGGAUUGAUUUUUGGGGUAAGUGCCUCCAAAUUUUAGGAAUAAGGGGCCAAAAAGGGGCAAAAAACAAGCAUUGUUCUAGUUUCAUGACAAUAACUUGUGUGUAAGUGUAUGGAUCUUUAUGAAAUUGUACUACAAGGUUCCAUAUCACAAAGGGAAAGCUGGAAUUGAGUUGGGGGGUAAUUGCCCAAAAAUUUUAGGAAUAAGGGGCCAAAAAGGGGCAAAAAACAAGCAUUUUUCUAGUUUUAUAACAAUAACUUGUGUGUAAGUGUAUGGAUCUUUAUGAAAUUGUACUACAAGGUUCCAUAUCACAAAGGGAAAGCUGGGUUUGAGUUUGGGGGUAAUUGCCCUAAACGUUUAGGAAUUUGGGGCCAAAAAGGG
Molecule: long non-coding RNA, 894 nt
Organism: Mytilus californianus (California mussel)
Lineage: Eukaryota; Metazoa; Mollusca; Bivalvia; Mytilida; Mytilidae
Exons: 2
Source: RefSeq, a predicted model, not a curated record